UCUUGCCAUGUGUGAUGGUGCACGCCUGUGACCCAGGAACAAAGAGGCUGGAGUGGGAGGAUGACCAUGAGUUCGAAACCAGCCUCUGCUACGUAAAGCAAGGCCCCAGCACCAAGAUUACAACAAUGUAUUUUCUAAUUCAGUGCUUGCCACUGAAAUGAUCAGACUUUGUGUGAAAUUCCUCCAGCAGAGACAGUAACUGUGCUGUGUGAGCAUCAUGCAUGACCUUCUGAUUUCAGUGAAUGAAGUCCUCCAGCCAAACAGCUCUCUUUAAUAUUGGAUCCUGGACUUCCGUUCCAGCCAGCACAUGGAAUUUUCAGAUAAGUCAAUCACCCCCCGCCCAGGAUGGGAGUCACCUUCUUCAUAUAACAGUGCCUAUUUUCUCUGUCCUGGAGAGCUCUUCAUGGAGUGUGGUGUCUUUUUCUGCUGCACUGUGAGUCCAGGUGACCCAUAAACUGCUGUGGAAAUCCUGUGUCCAGUGCUGGGUGUUGUGCAUGUGGCCAUCUCUAGAGCAGAAAUCCCAACCUCACCAGCUGGCCAGAGAGGAAGUGAAUAAAACAUAUAUUUCUACCAGAUAGAGUGACCUGUGCGAGAUCUUGAAGCAGAGAUGAAAUUUUCCUGACCACGUUUCUUGGGCAAAAUCACUUGUGAUUCAAAUUAUGUGAAUGGGAUAUGGAGGGAAAUCCACACUUCUCCAAAUGUGGAUUA
Long non-coding RNA from Fukomys damarensis (Damara mole-rat), 708 nucleotides. RefSeq lists it as uncharacterized. Lineage: Eukaryota; Metazoa; Chordata; Mammalia; Rodentia; Bathyergidae. The transcript is spliced from 4 exons. The record is from RefSeq and is a predicted model, not a curated record.